GACGAACGCUGGCGGCGUGCUUAACACAUGCAAGUCGAACGGAAAGGCCCUGCUUUUGUGGGGCGCUCGAGUGGCGAACGGGUGAGUAACACGUGAGUAACCUGCCCUUGACUUUGGGAUAACUUCAGGAAACUGGGGCUAAUACCGGAUAGGUGCUCCUGCUGCAUGGUGGGGGUUGGAAAGUUUCGGCGGUUGGGGAUGGACUCGCGGCUUAUCAGCUUGUUGGUGGGGUAGUGGCUUACCAAGGCUUUGACGGGUAGCCGGCCUGAGAGGGUGACCGGCCACAUUGGGACUGAGAUACGGCCCAGACUCCUACGGGAGGCAGCAGUGGGGAAUAUUGCACAAUGGGCGGAAGCCUGAUGCAGCAACGCCGCGUGCGGGAUGACGGCCUUCGGGUUGUAAACCGCUUUCGCCUGUGACGAAGCGUGAGUGACGGUAAUGGGUAAAGAAGCACCGGCUAACUACGUGCCAGCAGCCGCGGUGAUACGUAGGGUGCGAGCGUUGUCCGGAUUUAUUGGGCGUAAAGGGCUCGUAGGUGGUUGAUCGCGUCGGAAGUGUAAUCUUGGGGCUUAACCCUGAGCGUGCUUUCGAUACGGGUUGACUUGAGGAAGGUAGGGGAGAAUGGAAUUCCUGGUGGAGCGGUGGAAUGCGCAGAUAUCAGGAGGAACACCAGUGGCGAAGGCGGUUCUCUGGGCCUUUCCUGACGCUGAGGAGCGAAAGCGUGGGGAGCGAACAGGCUUAGAUACCCUGGUAGUCCACGCUGUAAACGGUGGGUACUAGGUGUGGGGUCCAUUCCACGGGUUCCGUGCCGUAGCUAACGCUUUAAGUACCCCGCCUGGGGAGUACGGCCGCAAGGCUAAAACUCAAAGGAAUUGACGGGGCCCCGCACAAGCGGCGGAGCAUGCGGAUUAAUUCGAUGCAACGCGUAGAACCUUACCUGGGUUUGACAUGGAUCGGGAGCGCUCAGAGAUGGGUGUGCCUCUUUUGGGGUCGGUUCACAGGUGGUGCAUGGCUGUCGUCAGCUCGUGUCGUGAGAUGUUGGGUUAAGUCCCGCAACGAGCGCAACCCUUGUUCACUGUUGCCAGCACGUUAUGGUGGGGACUCAGUGGAGACCGCCGGGGUCAACUCGGAGGAAGGUGGGGAUGACGUCAAGUCAUCAUGCCCCUUAUGUCCAGGGCUUCACGCAUGCUACAAUGGCUGGUACAGAGAGUGGCGAGCCUGUGAGGGUGAGCGAAUCUCGGAAAGCCGGUCUCAGUUCGGAUUGGGGUCUGCAACUCGACCUCAUGAAGUCGGAGUCGCUAGUAAUCGCAGAUCAGCAACGCUGCGGUGAAUACGUUCCCGGGGCU
RNAcentral lists this ribosomal RNA (1346 nucleotides) under uncultured bacterium. Its description in RNAcentral is "bacterial SSU rRNA". It matches the Rfam family "Bacterial small subunit ribosomal RNA", at positions 28 to 1381 of the family's 1533-position model. The record is from RNAcentral.